RNAcentral lists this ribosomal RNA (471 nucleotides) under uncultured bacterium. RNAcentral's name for it is "bacterial SSU rRNA". It matches the Rfam family "Bacterial small subunit ribosomal RNA", at positions 329 to 792 of the family's 1533-position model. The record is from RNAcentral.
CACCAGACUCCUACGGGAGGCCGCAGUAGGGCCUCUUCGGCAAUGGCCGCCAGUCUGACCGCGCCACGCCGCGUGCGUGAAGAAGGGUUUCGGAUCGUAACCCUCUGUUGGUAGCGCCGCCCGUUGGUGCGCGUGGAAAGCUCCUCCCGUGACGGUACCUCCCCAGAAAGGGCCGGCUAACUACGUGCCCGCAGCCGCGGUCCUCCGUAGGUCCCGAGCGUUGUCCGGAUUUAUUGGGCGUAAAGCGAGCGCAGGGGGUUGAGGAAGUCUGGUGGAAAAGGCAGUGGCUCAACCAUUGUAUGCAUUGGAAACUGGUAGACUUGAGGGCAGGAGAGGAGGGGGGAAUUCCAUGGGGAGCGGUGAAAGGCGGAGAUAUAUGGAGGAACACCGGUGGAGAAAGCGGCUCUCGGGCCGGUAACUGACACUGAGGCUCGAAAGCGUGGGGAGCAAACAGGAUUAGAUACCCCGGUA